RNAcentral lists this transfer RNA (85 nucleotides) under Christensenellaceae bacterium. RNAcentral's name for it is "tRNA-Tyr". It matches the Rfam family "tRNA". Rfam says of the family: Transfer RNA (tRNA) molecules are approximately 80 nucleotides in length. Their secondary structure includes four short double-helical elements and three loops (D, anti-codon, and T loops). Further hydrogen bonds mediate the characteristic L-shaped molecular structure. tRNAs have two regions of fundamental functional importance: the anti-codon, which is responsible for specific mRNA codon recognition, and the 3' end, to which the tRNAs corresponding amino acid is attached (by aminoacyl-tRNA synthetases). tRNAs cope with the degeneracy of the genetic code in two manners: having more than one tRNA (with a specific anti-codon) for a particular amino acid; and 'wobble' base-pairing, i.e. permitting non-standard base-pairing at the 3rd anti-codon position. The record is from RNAcentral. Lineage: Bacteria; Bacillati; Bacillota; Clostridia; Christensenellales; Christensenellaceae.
GGGAGGAUUGCAGAGUGGCCAAAUGCAACGGUCUGUAAAAUCGUCGGCUCCGCCUUCGAUGGUUCGAAUCCAUCUCCUCCCACCA